GAGAAGAGCCGCUUCCAGGCAGAGGAAACAGCUGCCCGUAGACCCAGGAGAGCAGUGUGUGGGAGCUGCCUAGGCUCCUUGCCCUGAAGCUGAGCUGUCAGAUGGGUGAUUAGUUCCAAGAGGGUGUGGAAGACCUUCCCUGUGUUUCUGUAUCACGGCUUUUGCAUUUAUUACAGGCACACGGAGUACUUCUUUCUUCUCCUGUCCCUCUGCCAGCUUUUAUAGGAACUGCUCGGUAGUGGACCUUCAAAGACCUUAUCACAGAUUGAACAUAAUGAAGAAUCAUAGUCUUGCAGGAAUAUGGGGACAAGAGAGGAUGGUCACGUCCCCAGUCUCGGUGAAGGGAACCUCUUUCAAUCCAGCAAAGACCCUGUGAAGAUGUGUCUGUGAACCAGUUCACGUGAUCCUUUCUUGGGUUGAGAGAGCCCUGACUGCCCCAAGAUAUAACUCUGUCCUUAGA
This is a long non-coding RNA of Bos taurus (domestic cattle), 460 nucleotides long. The record is from Ensembl. NCBI's taxonomy places the organism in Eukaryota, Metazoa, Chordata, Mammalia, Artiodactyla, Bovidae.